GACUCUGGUGCCAGUUACCAUUUGUGUAUGCAUCAUAAUGCGGGAUCUCCAAAGCUGUUUGAAGGUGGUCAUGCCUUGGGAGUUCCUGCAGCACUGCUUCCUGGUUUCUCUGUGAAAAGUGCUUUUUCCUUUAAGAAAAAUAUAGAUAUUUGGAGAAGCAAAGCUCAGAAGUUGAAGAUGGUGCAACCAUUUGAUCUGUUUCUUUCAAAUCCCCACAUUUCUGCAUCAGGGAUCAUUGGUGCUGCUAUGACAACCUGUCUUGGAGAUAACUCGGUUAGAUCGCAAGUGGAUGAUUUUCAGGGUUUUAAAGGCUUAUGUCUUUAUACACCUGCAGUAAGAUCUGGCUUGUUGGCUGAUAUAUUUUCAUCUGUUUCAGUGACGGCUCAGCAUGGAAACUUCCAAAGACUAUUUCUAGAUCUUACUCGAUUUCAUUUUCAUUUGGAUUUUCCUUCUGGGUCCAAGUUUGUUUCGGGUGCUGCUAAAUUAGCGCAAGAUUUUUUCAAUUCUAGACAGCCAUCCGUGGAAGCAGUGAGAGCAAUUUGCCCCAAUGCAACCAUUUCUCUUCAACAGCAGAUUGCCGGACCCUUCAGUUUCAGAGUUGAUUCUGGAAUUGUAAUUGAUUGGCAGAACAAAGAUUGGCAUAUUCGAAUGCAUGAUCCAGUGUUUGCGAUCGAGUAUGCAUUACAGGUCCUUGGUUCAGCGAAAGCUAUUGCUUGGUAUUCCCCAAAGCAACAAGAAUUUAUGAUGGAACUUAGGUUUUUUGAGACCUAAAUUAUGAAUGUCUAGAAAUUCUUGUUGCUUUGGGGAAUACCAAGCAAUAGCUUUCGCUGAACCAAGGACCUGUAAUGCAUACUCGAUCGUCAGCUUUUCAUAAACUUACUGCUUGUAUGUGCAUAUUUUUUUAUCAAAUAUCAAAUCCAU
This 921-nucleotide unclassified non-coding RNA is filed under the name Hevea brasiliensis (rubber tree). The record is from RNAcentral. Lineage: Eukaryota; Viridiplantae; Streptophyta; Magnoliopsida; Malpighiales; Euphorbiaceae.